Molecule: unclassified non-coding RNA, 270 nt
Filed under: soil metagenome
Description: partial internal transcribed spacer 1
Source: RNAcentral
ACUAGUAUUGAAGUCCACGGGGAUCAGGCUUUCCGAAAGGAGGGUGGGGGGAUGUUUGGUUCCCCCUGCUUGGGCAGACUGGAGAGCAUUGUGUAGCCACUUUUGUUGGCUACGUUAUGUUUGGCCUUUUUGCUGAUCGAGCUUGUCACCUGAAUUCUACUACCCUUGCUUUUUGCGCACCCAUUGUUUCCUCGGUAGGCUUGCCUGCCAGUAGGACCAUUUAAAACCCUUUGUGAUUGCAAUCAGCGUCAGAAACAACGUAAUCGUUUA